AUGACUGGCUAUUGCUACUACAUAAUUAUAGUCGAUGAUUUCACUCAUUAUUUAUGGAGUUUUCCUCUUCGCAAGAAGUCUGAUGUUUAUGCCACCUUUGUUGCCUUUCAUGCCAAUGCCUCAACCCAGUUUCAACUCUCGGUCCAGUGCGACGAUGGUCGUGAAUUCGAUAACACUAAACUUGACAAAUUUUGUAUAACGCAUGGUAUUAUUUUCUGCUUCUCAUGCCCCUAUACGUCUCAACAAAAUGGCAAGGCGGAGCGUGCCAUUCGUACAACAAAUGAUGUCGUAGGUACUCUUCUCUUCCAAGCAUCUCUUCCAUCAUUGUUUUGGGCUGAAGCUUUACACAAUGCUACCUAUCUCAUAAACAUACGACCUACCACUCCACCCUCCUACUCUUCCCCUUUCUUUCUCUUACAUGGUUGGCAUCCCCGAUACAAUGAUCUCCGUGUGUUUGGUUGUUUAUGCUAUCCCAACACAUCCUCCACUGCACCACAUAAACUCGUGCCACGUGCUGCCCGCUGUAUAUUUCUUGGUUAUCCCUCUCGACAUCAUGGUUACCGCUGCCUCGACCUCACCACUCGCUGCAUCAUCAUCUCUCGACAUGUCACCUUUGAUGAAACUACAUUUCCAUAUGCCCCACCUCCCAUCCCGACACCCUCUACUCAACUUGACAUCUUUGAUCCGCAGACUUAA
Molecule: ribosomal RNA, 696 nt
Filed under: Triticum aestivum (bread wheat)
Lineage: Eukaryota; Viridiplantae; Streptophyta; Magnoliopsida; Poales; Poaceae
Description: partial small subunit ribosomal RNA
Source: RNAcentral